AUUGAACGCUGGCGGUAGGCCUAACACAUGCAAGUCGAACGGCAGCACAGUGAAACCUUGCGCUUACCGGACGAGUGUCGCGGGGGGGUGAGAUGUAUGUCAGACUCUCCUUUUUCGGGGGGGAAAUCGUGGGAACGGUUACGAUAAUACCGCAACGGCCCUACGGCAGAAAGCAGGGGCUCUUCGGCCCUUGCCAGCUGGAAUGCGCCGAUGUCGGAUUAGCUAGUUGGUGGGGUAAAGGCCCACCAAGGCGACGAUCCGUAGCUGGUCUGAGAGGAUGAUCAGCCACACUGGAACUGAGACACGGUCCAGACUCCUACGGGAGGCAGCAGUGGGGAAUAUUGGACAAUGGGCGCAAGCCUGAUGCAGCCAUACCGCGUGUAUGAAGAAGGCCUUCGGGUUGUAAAGUCCUUUCGUUGGGGAGGAAGAGCAGCAGGUUAAUACCCCGCUGUUUUGACGUUACCCACAGAAUAAGCACCGGCUAACUUCGUG
Molecule: ribosomal RNA, 492 nt
Filed under: uncultured bacterium
Lineage: Bacteria
Description: partial 16S ribosomal RNA
Rfam family: Bacterial small subunit ribosomal RNA
Source: RNAcentral